GACGGGGGAUGCAAGCGUUAUCCGGAAUUACUGGGCGUAAAGCGUCUGUAGGUGGUGAUGCAAGUCACUGGAGCAAAACUCUGGCUCAACCGAAGGAAAGCCAGUGAGACUGCAUGACUAGAGUGUGGGAGAGGUAGAAGGAAUUCCCUGAGUAGCGGUGAAAUGCGUAUAUACAGGGAAGAACACCCGAGGCGAAAGCGUUCUACUGGAACACAACUGACACUGAGAGUCGAAAGCUAGGGGAGCGAAUGGG
RNAcentral lists this ribosomal RNA (253 nucleotides) under uncultured bacterium. Its description in RNAcentral is "partial 16S ribosomal RNA". It matches the Rfam family "Bacterial small subunit ribosomal RNA", at positions 524 to 776 of the family's 1533-position model. The record is from RNAcentral.